This is a long non-coding RNA of Ailuropoda melanoleuca (giant panda), 510 nucleotides long. RefSeq lists it as uncharacterized. The record is from RefSeq and is a predicted model, not a curated record. The transcript has 3 exons. NCBI's taxonomy places the organism in Eukaryota, Metazoa, Chordata, Mammalia, Carnivora, Ursidae.
UUUAAAUGACUAUACAAAACACAUAUUUGAAGAAAUACAUUUUUCUUUCUUCCAUCACCAGAAAGGGAAUAUAUAGAGAUGAUGUUUCUAGCUGUGUCUGGCUGAGCCAGGCUGCUUUGCUGGGCUCAGAGCAGAAACUACCACCAGCAACACUGUUCUGACCAGGAGUUAACCACCUAGGAAAGGGCCCAUGGAUAAAAACAACAAACAACAACUCUGAUCAAGGAUGCUAUGAGGAACCGGGCACAGGUGCACCCAGUGACCUCACCAAGGUGGCGAAUCUACAACCCUCAGCAGGUUGGGAUGUCUACGUGCAUGUGCAUCCAGCAGAUGAGUCCCCAGUCCUCCCUCUCCUGCCCCGGGAGGCAUUGGCAUGACGUGGAAAAGUAGCAGCUGGAAAGAAACCAGCCAGCCCUGCUUACGUUGAUGGUGAAGAUUACUGGCUCCAGAUCUUCAUAGGUGAUCUUUAUCUUUUCAGUUGCACUCUUUGCCUGUACUUCUGUCUCUGCA